UACGUAGGGUGCAAGCGUUGUCCGGAAUUAUUGGGCGUAAAGAGCUCGUAGGCGGUUUGUCGCGUCUGCUGUGAAAACUCGGGGCUUAACUCCGGGCCUGCAGUGGGUACGGGCAGACUAGAGUGCGGUAGGGGAGACUGGAAUUCCUGGUGUAGCGGUGAAAUGCGCAGAUAUCAGGAGGAACGCCGGUGGCGAAGGCGGGUCUCUGGGCCGUAACUGACGCUGAGGAGCGAAAGCGUGGGGAGCAAACAGG
Molecule: ribosomal RNA, 253 nt
Filed under: uncultured bacterium
Lineage: Bacteria
Description: partial 16S ribosomal RNA
Rfam family: Bacterial small subunit ribosomal RNA
Source: RNAcentral